UGGGGAAUCUUGCCCAAUGGGCGAAAGCCUGAGGCAGCAACGCCGCGUGUGGGAUGACGGCCCUCGGGUUGUAAACCACUUUCAGUAGGGACGAAAUUGACGGUACCUACAGAAGAAGCUCCGGCCAACUACGUGCCAGCAGCCGCGGUAAUACGUAGGGAGCGAGCGUUGUCCGGAUUUAUUGGGCGUAAAGCGCGCGUAGGCGGUUUGGUAAGCCGGGUGUGAAACCCUCGAGCUCAACUCGGGGCGGCCACUCGGAACUGCUAUGACUUGAGUCUGGUAGGGGAACACGGAAUACCUGGUGUAGCGGUGAAAUGCUUAGAUAUCAGGUGGAACACCAGUGGCGAAGGCGGUGUUCUGGGCCAGUACUGACGCUGAGGCGCGAAAGCGUGGGGAGCGAAC
This 402-nucleotide ribosomal RNA is filed under the name uncultured bacterium. RNAcentral's name for it is "bacterial SSU rRNA". It matches the Rfam family "Bacterial small subunit ribosomal RNA", at positions 355 to 773 of the family's 1533-position model. The record is from RNAcentral.